CCCUGUUCCCGGAAUCGCAUUGAAAAGUGUAACCCUCCUGACUGGAGGCACUUACUUUAACUCAUUAAAUCCAAAAGUCGUUUAUGAGGGAUACCUUAUAAAUUCCUUGUCUCCGGACUACUCUUGAUUGAGGAUUGGUAGAGCUAGAGUGCUGCGUGUUAUGAUACUAAGGUAACGAUAGAGUCGGUCUCGCAAGAAGGGUUUUACCCUCGCCAAAGUUAACAGUUGUGGCAUAACUGGAACCAAAGUGGUAUGCCAAAUAAGAGAUUUCUCGUGAUGUCCAAGUGAUUGGGCUAUAAGAUUUUAUCGGAUCUUUUUCCUUAAGAGGCAGUUUACAAUAACUAUUGGUGUGUUAAGGAAAAAGCGGGUCUGCCAAUGACGCCCGGGACUAGAAAUGCGGUGAGAGUAACCAGUGUCGCUAACUGGGGCAUUCUCUCAUCAUCCUGUGACUGAGUAAGUAGCAAUAACAAUGACGUGGUAGGGGUAACGCCCCAAUGCUUUUAUGGAGAGGU
RNAcentral lists this non-coding RNA (512 nucleotides) under unclassified sequences. RNAcentral describes it as "ROOL RNA". It matches the Rfam family "ROOL RNA". Rfam says of the family: Firmicutes, Fusobacteria (1 example), Tenericutes (1 example). Environment (Cow rumen (57)) The record is from Rfam by way of RNAcentral.